UACGUAGGGUGCGAGCGUUAAUCGGAAUUACUGGGCGUAAAGCGUGCGCAGGCGGUUUUGUAAGCCAGAUGUGAAAUCCCCGGGCUCAACCUGGGAAUGGCAUUUGGGGACUGCAAGGCUGGAGUGCGGGCAGAGGAGACUGGAAUUCCUGGGUGUAGCAGUGAAAUGCGUAGAUAUCAGGAGGAAUACCGAUGGCGAAGGCAGGUCUCUGGGC
This 214-nucleotide ribosomal RNA is filed under the name uncultured bacterium. RNAcentral describes it as "partial 16S ribosomal RNA". It matches the Rfam family "Bacterial small subunit ribosomal RNA", at positions 524 to 734 of the family's 1533-position model. The record is from RNAcentral.